This 571-nucleotide ribosomal RNA is filed under the name uncultured bacterium. RNAcentral's name for it is "partial 16S ribosomal RNA". It matches the Rfam family "Bacterial small subunit ribosomal RNA", at positions 355 to 914 of the family's 1533-position model. The record is from RNAcentral.
UGGGGAGUAUUGCACAAUGGGCGCAAGCCUGAUGCAGCCAUGCCGCGUGUGUGAAGAAGGCCUUCGGGUUGUAAAGCACUUUCAGCGAGGAGGAAGGUGGUGAGCUUAAUACGCUCAUCAAUUGACGUUACUCGCAGAAGAAGCACCGGCUAACUCCGUGCCAGCAGCCGCGGUAAUACGGAGGGUGCAAGCGUUAAUCGGAAUUACUGGGCGUAAAGCGCACGCAGGCGGUUUGUUAAGUCAGAUGUGAAAUCCCCGGGCUCAACCUGGGAACUGCAUUUGAAACUGGCAAGCUAGAGUCUCGUAGAGGGGGGUAGAAUUCCAGGUGUAGCGGUGAAAUGCGUAGAGAUCUGGAGGAAUACCGGUGGCGAAGGCGGCCCCCUGGACGAAGACUGACGCUCAGGUGCGAAAGCGUGGGGCAGCAAACAGGAUUAGAUACCCUGGUAGUCCAGCGCUGUAAACGAUGUCGAUUUUGGAGGUUGUGCCCUUGAGGCGUGGCUUCCGGAGCUAACGCGUUAAAGUCGACCGCCUGGGGAGUACGGCCGCAAGGUUAAAACUCAAAUGAAUUGAC